GAUGAACGCUGGCGGCGUGCCUAAUACAUGCAAGUCGAGCGAACGGACGAGAAGCUUGCUUCUCUGAUGUUAGCGGCGGACGGGUAAGUAACACGUGGAUAACCUACCUAUAAGACUGGGAUAACUUCGGGAAACCGGAGCUAAUACCGGAUAAUAUUUUGAACCGCAUGGUUCAAAAGUGAAAGACGGUCUUGCUGUCACUUAUAGAUGGAUCCGCGCUGCAUUAGCUAGUUGGUGAGGUAACGGCUUACCAAGGCAACGAUGCAUAGCCGACCUGAGAGGGUGAUCGGCCACACUGGAACUGAGACACGGUCCAGACUCCUACGGGAGGCAGCAGUAGGGAAUCUUCCGCAAUGGGCGAAAGCCUGACGGAGCAACGCCGCGUGAGUGAUGAAGGUCUUCGGAUCGUAAAACUCUGUUAUUAGGGAAGAACAUAUGUGUAAGUAACUGUGCACAUCUUGACGGUACCUAAUCAGAAAGCCACGGCUAACUACGUG
RNAcentral lists this ribosomal RNA (497 nucleotides) under uncultured bacterium. RNAcentral describes it as "partial 16S ribosomal RNA". It matches the Rfam family "Bacterial small subunit ribosomal RNA", at positions 28 to 507 of the family's 1533-position model. The record is from RNAcentral.